AUGAGGCCCGGAGCCGAGUACCCCAUGGCCCACGGCCCCGCGGCGGCGGCGCCGCGGUCGACGUGGCAGACGCCGGUGCCGUACCUCUUCGGCGGGCUCGCGACGAUGCUGGCCCUCAUCGCGCUCUCGCUCCUCACCCUGGCCUGCUCCUACUGGAAGCUCUCCGGCGGCCUCGCCGGCCCGGACGAGGACCAGCCCGCGGGCUCCGACGGCGAGAAGGGCUCGGCCGCCGAGCCCGCGAGGGAGUGGCUGGGGCACGUCGUGGUCAUCAUGGCCGGCGACGAGCAGCCGAGCUUCCUGGCCACGCCGGCGUCGAUGACGAGCCGUGCCGCCGACGCCGGCGCGGAGACCGCGUGCUGCGCCGCGUGCAGGUCGGAGGAGAGGAAGAUGGCGGAUGCGCGGGAGGCCGGCGCGCAGCCAGCCGGCUCCGAAGACGACGCGCAGAGUCUGAGCCCGAGUGAGCUGCCUAGCAGUAGCACUAGUAGCUCUGUGAUUAGCAGCUAG
RNAcentral lists this ribosomal RNA (504 nucleotides) under Triticum aestivum (bread wheat). RNAcentral describes it as "partial small subunit ribosomal RNA". The record is from RNAcentral. Lineage: Eukaryota; Viridiplantae; Streptophyta; Magnoliopsida; Poales; Poaceae.